CAGGAGUCUCGUCUCUUCGGUCUGGUCAGCGCAGAGUCACGCAUCGCGUCUGUCUGUGUGCGGUUCUGUGUGAACGAGCGGAUUCACGCGUGUGUUCUGCGGGAGUCUAGCGGCGGGAUCGCGCGUGUUUCAGCGCAGGUGUACAGGCUGCUGAUCUCCUGUGCCACACACUAUGUGACCAAACACCGUCGUCUGUUCUCAGCUUGUUCCGGAUUCAGUAGAGUCAAUCAGACAGGAGCUCCAGGUCUGCGUUAAAAUGUCUGCGUGUGGAGAGUUUGCAGAGCAUGUGUGGAAACCUGGCUCCUGUAAGAACUGCUUCCAUCCUCGCAGCGCUCACGGACAGACCGGCACGGCGGGAGGUGCUUGUGUCCGAACGAGUCUGAUCGGGGAAGACGAGGAUGGGGUGACGUCUCCCUCUCCGUAUAGCAAACCCACCAUCGCUGUCAGACCCACCAUGAUGAACAUGGAUGUCACAGCGGAGGUCAAGACGGAGAUGAAUACAGAACAGAACAACCAGGAGACCUCUGUAGGACUGAAGAAAGCUCUGGAUUUGGCUCCUCUGUACAUUGAUAGCAAUGGAUGUAAUAAAUCUUUUAGAGAAACCAUAAUACAAAACAACAUCUCCGGAAAGAAGUUCUCCCCAAAUGUUUGUUCUCCCACUGGAUUAUCCAAGGACUGCAUGUUUAUCAGCAAUAUAUUUCGGAGUCAAGAAGAUGGCUUUGUUCAACACAGUCUGAAAGAGAAUGGGAACAGUGACUCCUAUAGACAGAUUACCAAAGCGGUCAAGAGCACUUAUGCCAAUGGAGAUACAUAUCUUCAUAAUGAGACUGGAAACAGUGAUGGAGUUACAAGUCCUCUAAGGGCAUCUGCAGAGGAAAGGCAAGCCAGAACCACACCAGGGAAUGUGGUUAAUGGAUCGUCCAAUGAGACGCCAGGUACCUCACCAUCUCCAUUAACUCCAGACUCCUUCCACAAAAGCCUGUCGGACUCGUGCUCCAAUCGGAGCAGCGUGGAUUCAUUAGUGGGAUUCCAGAGUCCUCAAAAGUCUCCAAGCGUUCCACCAAACGGGCUCAAGGAAAGAGAGCCGAUCUAUGCUGAGAGCACCAAGAGAAAAAGACAACUCAAUGCUCAAAGCGAUGGGAAGGCUCCGCAGUCCUCUGAGUCUGAAACCGAAGUCAUCUUAAGCGACAAUCAAAGAGCAACUAUUACUGUCGUCGCCGCCCAUACUGAGGAAAACAACCGGACGUUUUACCUGAGCAGCCCGGAUUCGGCCGUAAGCACCCAAUGGAAUCACUUCAGCCCAACCAUGCCCAAAGACCAAUUAAGCCCGGCGUUCACUUGGCCAAAUGCUCCUGAUGCCACCGAAUCUACUCAACCCAAGCCUCAGUCCAGUCCCCCUGUUCCUCCUAAGAUCAGCACCCGUCCACCAAGACUUGGUACCUCCAGUCUCUCCUUACCGCUACCCGAGCUCAGCUUUCACGUGGUUCUUCCUCCAAAUCAGAUGACCUCACAAGUGGAUACCAAUGCUCAUGCUGUCCGACACAAGUCUAACAGCGCCACAAGUCUGGAGGGAUGUAUUGAGGAGGAAGAAGAGGAGGUCGACUCCAAGAGAUUGGGCUCUUGUGGUGGGCUAGGCGACUCCAUCAAUGCUCCUGCUGUUCCAUCUAGAGAAUGGACGAGUGAGAGCAAUGCAAUGCCAGGCACCGCCAACAAAAGCACCAGUCAAACGCCGGCAGAGGAUGGCAGAGCCAAAGAGAGCUUGCUCUCAAGCCCGUCUCCUCUCAUACACUCUAGUGAACCCAACACCAGCCGGGAUCCCGCACCGCCUCCGCCGCCUCCCAAAAAACACCACCGGGUGUGUAAGCGUCUCAGUGGCAGUAAUAUGGAUCUGGAGCGUGUCGGUCAGCGGGGGUCAGUGGAGAAUAUCAGCCAAUCACAGCGAGGACUGAAGUGCUGCAGCAGUGCAUCCAGAGACAGCCUGCAGACGCUCACACACACCGACCCCACCCUCCGCUCCAGCCCCUCCCCUUUCCCCAGCAGCCCGUUAGGCUCCGCCCCUUCGUCUCCGCGGCCCGACUCAUUUCCCUGCAGCAGCCUGGCCAAUCAGCUGCAGCCGCCUCCAUUACCACAGAAGAAGCAGGUGAACCGCACCGCCUCGGCUCCGAGCGACUCGGGUGAUGAUCCGCUCGCCCGUUCUUGCCCGCGUCUGGGGAACGUGACGUCCUGCUCGUCUCCGCAGCUCAACACGCUGCACCUGCACGCUCUGCUCAGGAACAUGGACAGCCGCGAGGGCAUCUACUCGAAGCUGGGCGGCCUGUACGCCGAGUCUCUGCGGCGGCUCGCGCUCAAGUGUGAGGAGCACUUCUCCAGCAGCCAGAGGAACACGCUGAGAUUCGACGAGAGCAACUGGUCACUCUUCAAACUCACCUGCAACAAACCCUGCUGUCUGUCCGGAGACGCCGUGUAUUACUCCGCCUCCUGCGCGUCAGACACUGCAAACACAUACGCCGUCAAGAUCUGUAAAGGCCAGGCUCCGGACAGUAAGCAGGUUCAUCUGUACGGUCUGUCUGUGCAGCAGAGCGUCCCGUCUCACUUCAAUCUGCAGCAGGACUGCGGUCACUUCAUCGCCUGUGUGCCGCGGAGCAUGUUACCGAGCGAGGAGAGCGGUCCGGCCGAGCAGGAGCGAGUGGUGGUCAUCACACGGGACGUCCCGCACCAGACCGUGGCUGAUUUCGUCUGUGAGUGGGAGUCGUUCCACCGCGCCCAGCCAGAGGUUUACGAGCGGCGCGUGUGUUUUCUUCUGCUGCAGCUGUGUGUGGGUCUGGAGCAUCUGAAAGCACAUGGCGGCACGCAUCGAGAUCUGUGCAUGGAGAACCUGCUGCUGGUGCAGCGUCCAGAUCCUCAGCAGCACAGCCUCCCUCGCCUCCUCAUCAGCAGCUUCAGCAAAGCCAAGCGCCGCGACGCAGACCAGCUGGAACGGCUCAAAGCAGACGACCCAUUUCUAAAGCGGGAUCACGCUCGGCUCGCGCCUGAGAUCGUCUCGGCAGCACAGUACCGCAAAUUCGACGAGUUUCAAACCGGCAUCCUGAUCUACGAGCUCCUGCACCGUCGUAACCCGUUCGAAGCCACUCCGGGCAAAUAUGACUACAGAUGUGAGGAGCUGCCUCCCAUCCCCGCCGCCUCCAUCUACUCGCCCGGCCUGCAGAGACUGGCUCACCUGCUGCUGGAGCCUGACCCCGGGCGCCGCAUCCACAUCCAGGACGCUCGCCGCAUCCUGCAGGCGCUGCUGUGGGGGCCACGGAGGGAGCUGCUGGAGCAGCCGUGGGUGUGUGGAGGAGCAGAAGGAGAUGGAGGAGCCGGGUGGAGGCUGGAGUCCAGGCACGACGGGCUGCUGAACUGGCUGGACGUGAAGCGUGCGCUGCUGAUGAUGAAGUUCGCUGAGCGCUCGCUGGAGCCGGAGAGGAGCGCUGAGCUGGAGGACUGGCUCUGCUGUCAGUAUUUCUCCAGCGCUAACCCCAGAUCCCUGUGUCAGACGGCAGAGCUGCUCUACAGCCUGCGCUUCACACACUGAGCUCAGAUCAACACUGUCUGUCUGAUCGUCAGAUCAACUGUGUAAAACACUGUGUUACUGCACUGGACUCAAACACCAGCACACACGGCACUUCAUUUCACUUUUACUAAUCAAUCUAUAUUUAUCAUUGCUUGCAGAGUGAAACUCAGUGUGUCUGAAAUGUACAGAUCACUUUUCACCCCAAAUUUAAAAAGGGAUAUAUGUGUGUGUGUGUGUAUGUUGUAUAAAAAUUCAAUGUAAAUUUAUUAUAUCUUUUCCUUUUUAAUUAAUAAGUAUAUAUAUAUAUAUAUAUAUAUAUAUAUAUAUAUAUAUAUAUAUAUAUAUGUGUGUGUGUAUGUGUGUACACUUUUCAUGUAAUUUCAAUUAUAUGUUUCAUUAAUAAUUAUAUUUCAUUAAUAAUAAUUUUAUAUAUAAAAUUUCAUAUAAAUUCCGUAUAUAUUCCCCUUUUAAUAAGAAAAUAUUUUCUACAUAAAUUAUUUAAGAUUUUAUUAUAUUGUGAUUAUUUUCAUGAAAA
Molecule: RNA transcript, 4085 nt
Organism: Carassius carassius (crucian carp)
Lineage: Eukaryota; Metazoa; Chordata; Actinopteri; Cypriniformes; Cyprinidae
Gene name: inactive tyrosine-protein kinase PRAG1-like
Exons: 9
Source: RefSeq, a predicted model, not a curated record